GCGUGCGGCGCUGGAGGAGCUGGUGAAACUUCAGGGAGAGCGCGUGCGAGGCCUCAAGCAGCAGAAGGCCAGCGCCGAGCUGAUCGAGGAGGAGGUGGCGAAACUCCUGAAACUGAAGGCACAGCUGGGUCCUGAUGAAAGCAAACAGAAAUUUGUGCUCAAAACCCCCAAGGGCACAAGAGACUAUAGUCCCCGGCAGAUGGCAGUUCGCGAGAAGGUGUUUGACAUAAUCAUCCGUUGCUUCAAGCGCCACGGUGCAGAAGUCAUUGAUACACCUGUAUUUGAACUAAAGGUGAGGAAUGGGCAAGAAGAAACUACAUGGUAGAUGAGUGGGCAUUUGAAUAACAAAGAAGAUGACAACAAGAGAGUGAGGGUCCAAAGGGCCCACUCCUGUUGUGGACACAGACCAGUCUUUGCUCCAAUAAGAAGCGGGACAAGAAUGGCUUGGAGGGAGAGGCCCUGUCUUUUAUUAUCUUGGUUGUGGCCAGCAGAUUCCAAAAGAGAGCCAUUCUUUGGAGUGGUAAUUGUUCUGGGUCCUCUCUACAUUGUAUUGCGUGGCAUCUGUACUUGGAAUAUUUUCUAGAUUCAUGCAAACCAUACGUACAUAAAUAUGCAACCACUCUCCUGUUGA
Molecule: small RNA, 631 nt
Filed under: Pan troglodytes (chimpanzee)
Lineage: Eukaryota; Metazoa; Chordata; Mammalia; Primates; Hominidae
Description: retained intron
Source: RNAcentral